RNAcentral lists this long non-coding RNA (1516 nucleotides) under Equus caballus (horse). RNAcentral describes it as "lncRNA (ENSECAG00000046089.1)". The record is from RNAcentral. Lineage: Eukaryota; Metazoa; Chordata; Mammalia; Perissodactyla; Equidae.
CUUUGAUCUAAUCCAGCUCAGCUAGAACAGGCAGCUGCCACAGGGAUUGGGCUCACCCAACAGCAAGCCCUCAGGCAACUUGUGGGCCUACAUAGGCUGGGUGCCUGGAUCCUCAGCAGGCAGCCAGAGCCCUGCAGGGUUACUCUGAGAGCCAGCCUCUCCGGGAAGUGGAGUCCGUUGCCACAGAGCCACCUGCAAGUGACUGAUCAAUGUGGGCCUGGGGUGGCCUCUCAAGGCCAUUCUCAUCCCAGGGUACUCCACAGGCACCUGGAUGUGGAGCAAGGAAUCCAGCUUGAUAAAGAACAGCCAGACACCAGUUCCUCUCUCCAGAAGCAGCUAUGGUCUAUUGCAUCCAUUUCCAGAAAUACUCUGGGAACAAGCCAUUUGAAGAGCUGGGGUAAAGACCAGUAUGUGCAACAGUCCUGAGGUAGAAAGAGUUUCAUGUGUUCUAAUCUACAGUAGAGCUUCUCAAACUUUAAUGUGCAUACAAAUCACCUGGCGAUCUUGUAGAAAUCCUGAUUCUGUUUCAGUAUGUCUGGGACCUGAGAUUUCUAAUAACCUCCAGGUAAUGCUGAGGCUGCUUAUGCAGAGAUUUCACUUAAGAGUAGUAAAGUCCUAGGGGACCAUUAGAGGCCAGUCUGGCCAGAAUGUCAUGAGAGAGAGGAAAAUGGGUCAAGAUGGGGUUGGAGAGGUGGUGGGGCAUGGGGUACAAUAAGAAGCUUGGAUAUUAUUCUAAGUGUAACAGGAACCCGCUGAAGGAUUUUAUGCAGACUAGGAAUGGAAGUGCCACUACAUGAUCUAAUUUUUGUUUCUAAAUUGCUCUAGCUGCUGUUUGGGUAGGCAAAGUGACAGUGGGGAGACCCAUCCAGAGGCCAUUGUACACAUGUCAUCCAGAGAUGAUGGUGACUGGACCAGUGUGGUGACCGAAAAGAUGGAUAGAAGGAAGCAGACUCCAGAUGCAUUUUGAAGGUGAAGCUGAAAGAACCUCCCAACAACAGAUUGGAUACGCGGAGUGAAGGGAAGGGAGGAAUCAAGGAUGCCUCUUGGGGUUUUGUCUCAAGCAACUGAGUGGCUGUGUUGCCAUUUACUGAGAUGGAAGGAGGAGCAGUGAAGGGAGGAGAAGAGUGUGAGGAGCCUGAGCUUCACAAAAUGGAGAUGUCAAGGAGAUAGAUCUGUGAGCCUGGUGCUCAGAGGAGGGUCUUGGCUUGAGAUAAAAACCGGGACAUGUCAAAAUCAACAGUUCUUAAGGCUGUGGGAAUGGAAGACCCCAGCUAGGAAAGGGUGUGGAUAGAGGAGAGCAGAAGCUCUAGGACAAACCCUGAAGGACACUAAUGUUCAGAGACUGGGUAGAAAGAAUGAGCAGCCAGAGGCGAGAGGCGAGAGACAGCAGGCAUCCACUGUCAUCAGAGGUUUGAAAUAGGAAAGGCUCGGCAGGUCUAAGGAUGAAAAGCACUGCAUUUUACCUUUUUCUCUUCUGGCAUUCAUGGAAUCACUUUAAAAGAGCAAAGAAGGGCAG